This 291-nucleotide unclassified non-coding RNA is filed under the name Hevea brasiliensis (rubber tree). Lineage: Eukaryota; Viridiplantae; Streptophyta; Magnoliopsida; Malpighiales; Euphorbiaceae. The record is from RNAcentral.
GGAAAAUGUCCGGUUGCUGCCACACCCAAAGCAUAGAGUUGCAAAAUAUAUUGUUGGCGUAUCUGAUUAGGAGCAACAACAGACAGUUAACUUGUCGGAUGGCUGCUGAGUCUGAGAUGUGGGCAUCAAAGAAGCUGUAUGCAAAAGAGAUGUAUUGUGGGACAGUUCUGUGACAAGAUGCAGUUACAUUGCUCAACUGGGAAGUGGGUGUCUCUUGUUUCUUGGCAUUUGGUAUAUGUGGGACAAGAUUACAUGAGACGUGUGUACAACUACUUCAUGGAUGCUCAGGUC